Molecule: unclassified non-coding RNA, 387 nt
Filed under: soil metagenome
Description: partial contains 5.8S ribosomal RNA, internal transcribed spacer 2, and large subunit ribosomal RNA
Rfam family: 5.8S ribosomal RNA (bases 1-120)
Source: RNAcentral
GAUGAAGAACGUAGCGAAAUGCGAUAAGUAAUGUGAAUUGCAGAAUUCAGUGAAUCAUCGAAUCUUUGAACGCACCUUGCGCUCCUUGGUAUUCCGAGGAGCAUGCCUGUUUGAGUGUCAUGAAAUUCUCAACCUUUUCAGCUUUCUUUGUUGAUCAGGCUUGGAUGUGGGAGUAUGCGGGCUUCUCAGAAGUCGGCUCUCCUGAAAUGCAUUAGCGGGACCUUUGUUGCCUGGCUUUGGUGUGAUAAUUAUCUACGCCAUUAUGGUCAAGCAGCUUAAAAUGAGGUUUCAGCUUCUAACCGUCUCCCCUGAGACAACUUUUUGACAAUUUGACCUCAAAUCAGGUAGGACUACCCGCUGAACUUAAGCAUAUCAAUAAGCGGAGGA